RNAcentral lists this ribosomal RNA (301 nucleotides) under uncultured bacterium. RNAcentral describes it as "partial 16S ribosomal RNA". It matches the Rfam family "Bacterial small subunit ribosomal RNA", at positions 509 to 809 of the family's 1533-position model. The record is from RNAcentral.
CAGUCGCCACGGUAAUACGUAGGGUGCGAGCGUUAAUCGGAAUUACUGGGCGUAAAGCGUGCGCAGGCGGUUUUGUAAGACAGGCGUGAAAUCCCCGGGCUCAACCUGGGAAUGGCGCUUGUGACUGCAAAGCUAGAGUGCGGCAGAGGGGGAUGGAAUUCCGCGUGUAGCAGUGAAAUGCGUAGAUAUGCGGAGGAACACCGAUGGCGAAGGCAAUCCCCUGGGCCUGCACUGACGCUCAUGCACGAAAGCGUGGGGAGCAAACAGGAUUAGAUACCCCGGUAGUCCCUGUCUCUUAUAA